GAUCCUACGGGACGCAGCAGUGGGGAAUAUUGCGCAAUGGGGGAAACCCUGAUGCAGCGACGCCGCGUGAGUGAAGAAGUAUUUCGGUAUGUAAAGCUCUAUCAGCAGGGAAGAAAAUGACGGUACCUGACUAAGAAGCCCCGGCUAACUACGUGCCAGCAGCCGCGGUAAUACGUAGGGGGCAAGCGUUAUCCGGAUUUACUGGGUGUAAAGGGAGCGUAGACGGUGAUGCAAGUCAGAAGUGAAAGCCCGCGGCUCAACUGCGGGACUGCUUUUGAGACUGUAUGACCGGAGUGCAGGAGAGG
Molecule: ribosomal RNA, 305 nt
Filed under: uncultured bacterium
Lineage: Bacteria
Description: bacterial SSU rRNA
Rfam family: Bacterial small subunit ribosomal RNA
Source: RNAcentral